UACGUAGGGUCCGAGCGUUGUCCGGAAUUAUUGGGCGUAAAGAGCUCGUAGGCGGUUCGUCACGUCGGCUGUGAAAUCCCGAGGCUCAACCUCGGGUCUGCAGUCGAUACGGGCGGACUUGAGUACUGCAGGGGAGACUGGAAUUCCUGGUGUAGCGGUGAAAUGCGCAGAUAUCAGGAGGAACACCGGUGGCGAAGGCGGGUCUCUGGGCAGUAACUGACGCUGAGGAGCGAAAGCGUGGGGAGCGAACAGG
RNAcentral lists this ribosomal RNA (253 nucleotides) under uncultured bacterium. Its description in RNAcentral is "partial 16S ribosomal RNA". It matches the Rfam family "Bacterial small subunit ribosomal RNA", at positions 524 to 776 of the family's 1533-position model. The record is from RNAcentral.